RNAcentral lists this unclassified non-coding RNA (345 nucleotides) under soil metagenome. RNAcentral describes it as "partial contains 5.8S ribosomal RNA, internal transcribed spacer 2, and large subunit ribosomal RNA". The stretch from base 1 to 120 matches the Rfam family "5.8S ribosomal RNA", at positions 35 to 154 of the family's 154-position model. The record is from RNAcentral.
GAUGAAGAACGUAGCGAAAUGCGAUACGUAAUGUGUAUUGCAGAAUUCAGUGAAUCAUCGAGUCUUUGAACGCACAUUGCGCCCCCUGGUAUUCCGGGGGGCAUGCCUGUCCGAGCGUCAUUGCUGCCCUCAAGCACGGCUUGUGUGUUGGGCCUCCGUCCUCCUCCCGGGGGACGGGCCCGAAAGGCAGCGGCGGCACCGCGUCCGGUCCUCGAGCGUAUGGGGCUUCGUCACCCGCUCUUGUAGGCCCGGCCGGCGCUUGCCGACACAUCAAUCUUUUUUCCAGGUUGACCUCGGAUCAGGUAGGGAUACCCGCUGAACUUAAGCAUAUCAAUAAGCGGAGGA